CUUAGCUCAGUUGGAUAGAGCACGUGCCUUCUAAGCAUGUGGUCACAGGUUCGAAUCCUGUA
Molecule: transfer RNA, 62 nt
Filed under: Vibrio cholerae
Lineage: Bacteria; Pseudomonadati; Pseudomonadota; Gammaproteobacteria; Vibrionales; Vibrionaceae
Also listed under: 1 other name
Rfam family: tRNA
About the family: Transfer RNA (tRNA) molecules are approximately 80 nucleotides in length.
Source: RNAcentral